Molecule: long non-coding RNA, 3073 nt
Organism: Triticum aestivum (bread wheat)
Lineage: Eukaryota; Viridiplantae; Streptophyta; Magnoliopsida; Poales; Poaceae
Exons: 7
Source: RefSeq, a predicted model, not a curated record
CUCGCCCCGCCCUGCCAUCUCGCCCGUCCCGCCGCCCCGCCGUCUCGCCCGCCCCACCGCCCCGCCCCGCCCGUCCCGCUCGCCGUGGCCGUGGCCGAUGACCGCGUCCCCGCCGUCCCGCCCUGCCGUCUCGCCCGUCCCGUCGCCCCGCCGUCUCGCCCGCCCCACCGCCCCGCCCCGCCCCGCUCGUCCCGCUCGCCAUGGCCGUGGCCGAUGACCGCGGCCCACCGUCCCGCCCUGUCCGCCGCAGCGGCCAUGGACGGUCCUUGCUGCGCCGCAUCCCCUGCCGGUCCUCCUUCUCCUGCGUCGCCCGGAGGUAUGCGGCCGCUGCUUGCGUUGUUGCUGCCCCUGUGAGCUCGCGCAUGUGCUCCGCCCCAUAGGCGUCGCCAUCGACUGCAGAAGGUCCAUGCCGGGCCCAAACUCGAGGACCACCGUUUGGGUGGCCCGUGGUUUAGCGACCGCCGUCACGCCGGACCACCCCCGGCCCUGGCCUAGGGUUUGGUGGGCGAGCUCAGUGCCGUCUUCCAGUGGUGGACGAGGAGAUCCGGCACGAACCACACACAGGGAGGAGCUCAACCUCUGCUGCCUCUGCGUGCCCCCAGGAAUAAAGAUGGCAACUUUUGGGGGCAAGGUUAUUUUAAAGUCUGAUGAUUGCUAUGUCGUGCAAGAGGGUGUUGAGCUGAUAGGUAAUUGCAGGAGUCGAUGAUAUGUAUAUUCCAGCACCUUUACUCAAGGGUCCAACAAAGGCAGCAUUGACCUCUCCUUAUCUACAGCCUAGUGAUGGCCACCACCAGUUUUGAAGCUGGUUGAGGUCCUUCGUACUCUUUGAGAGGUGGCACACAUACUAUAGAAGCGCUCCUGGACUGAGAAGCAUCUUGGUCCCAAAGGCGAGUCAAUUGAUUACAGAGGUGUUCUUCAUCAUGAUGGCUCUGUUUUGAUGCCAGUUUCCUUGGAUCAAUUGGAGGUAACAUGUAUUUUUCUUACCCUUUUUUGUGGCUUGUAUUGAUAUUUUCCUUGUGUGACCCCACCAAAAGAUAUCUCGAUGCAACUAUUUUCUAAUCUAAACAUGGAUGACUUUCAGCAAUCUCUUAGUUUUCAUGCAUUUAGCAAGAAUGCUACUUUGUUACUUGGGUUUUAUAUUUUCCUUGUGUGACCCCACCAAAAGAUAUCUCGUUGCAGCUAUUUUCUAAUCUAAACAUGGAUGACUUUCAGCAAUCUCUUAGUUUUCAUGCAUUUAGCAAGAAUGCUACUUUGUUACUUGGGUUGAUAAAAUAGCUACAGCACAUUGAGGCAAAAGGCAAAUGUACAUGCUCCUUAUUACUUAUCAGAAAACUUUUCCAGGGAGUUUUUUUGAUGUUUCUCAUAUGAAAUUGGAUUCAUACUAAUGCUGUUCUUACAUCCCAAAUGAAAGGGUCCAUGCUAUAGAAAUAAAUUGCUUUAAUUCACAUUCUUUAGAAGUAUAUGCAAUCGUGGACUAGAUGCAAAAUUUCUGUUGUAUGUCAUCCUUUAACUGACUACGAAUCAGCGUUUUAUUGUACAAAUGCUUCCUGGUAUGGGACCUGGAUAAGAAGUAUUUGGCCUGGACAUUUGAAUUUAUUCGGACAUUUUAUCUUACUAUAUGGUGAACUGGGAUCAACAUAUGUGGACAUGCAAAAAUACAUGCGCUAAGACUCAUAUAACUAUUCAUAACAUGAGUUAGGAACAAGUGCAGAUCUGUAAUUUUCAGCAAGCGAGAGAGGAUUACAUUUAGUUGUUUCAGUUUUAAACUACACUUGAGCCACUAUUCCUGAUAGUUCCAAACUAAUGUUUUGUUUGGCUUGCUGCUUGCAUGAAUUGAACCAUGCUUCCAGUUUUAAACUACACGUGAGCCACGGUUAAUGAUAAUUCCAAACUGAUGUUUUGUCUGCCUUGCAUGAAUUGAACCAUGCUACUCUGAAAUGUUGGUCUAGCGGAUUCUUACGAAUGGGCAAACUUAGGAAUACAUUGAAUUUCUAGAUGUUUUUAGCCUACUCUUUUCAUUGCUUUUCCAAUGUAGGUUGUUAGCAUGUUACACUUUUCAUGCAUAUGCUCUGUUGUUGCCUCUACCUCCUCUUUCUACAGGUUGCGAUACAAGUCACGGACCAGAAGACCAUAAGCAGGCAUUCGAUGCUUCUCGCUUUGCCUAAUCCAGCAGUAGGGCGUCACUGACAGGGUGGCGCACAACUCUGCUUUCACGGACUAUCCACGAGUCGGGGACGACUAAUUGAGCAUGCGGCUGGUUGAAGCAAACGACAAUCUGGCAGCAGAAGCUUGUGGCUUUCUAAGCUGGAUCAGCAGCACCUGUUAGAUGCUUGCAAAUGGACACAUUAAGAAUUCAGGAACCCAAAGAUUAGGUUGAGCCGAGCAUUGUAAGGAUCCAAGUAGAACGAUGCUCCAUCUCUUGUUAGAGCAGCCUGGGCUUCCCAAGGCCAUUUACCGUGUCAGAGGAUACUUGCAGAACACGAUAAGUAACCGUUCUUUUCAACACCACUGUCCAGAAUAGCGGGAGCUGUCCAACGCAAUUGUUGAUUACUUGUGUGUUGCUCUCCAAAUGAGGCAAUGGGGGAAGAUUCUGCCGCCUUUGAGGCAAUUAUGUACAUGGAGAACGCCACAAACAUUGUGGCAAAGGAACUGAAAAUACGAAUGGCUGAGCAAAUGUAAUGAGACCUUGGUUAUCUAAGGCUCGGACUCAAUUAGGCAUUUGACAUGAUAGACAACCUUGCUAAAGGUUAUUUAUAUGAUGUGAGAUACAUGUCCUCCUUUUCAGAUUAGAUUCAUAGUGUCAUGGCAGAUGCCUUUCCUCCUACUUGUGCGAUGGAUAAAUCAACAAAGUUGAUGGUUAUUAUAUUGAAUUGGUGGGGCAUAAUCAUGAGGACAGAACCUGCCACUAGCUACUGGGAUGUGUUGUGUGAGCUACUGUCGGACUGUCCUUGCCUUCUAUAAGAGUGCAUAUUAGUUGCACUGAUGCACUGCUAAAGCUUUAGCAGAACUAUAUAGGAUUCUUACCUUGGAAUGACUUUUGCUUUUGCUAUCUAAUAACCCAACUAUUGUUUUA